RNAcentral lists this transfer RNA (71 nucleotides) under Clostridiales bacterium GWE2_32_10. Its description in RNAcentral is "tRNA-Gly". It matches the Rfam family "tRNA". Rfam says of the family: Transfer RNA (tRNA) molecules are approximately 80 nucleotides in length. Their secondary structure includes four short double-helical elements and three loops (D, anti-codon, and T loops). Further hydrogen bonds mediate the characteristic L-shaped molecular structure. tRNAs have two regions of fundamental functional importance: the anti-codon, which is responsible for specific mRNA codon recognition, and the 3' end, to which the tRNAs corresponding amino acid is attached (by aminoacyl-tRNA synthetases). tRNAs cope with the degeneracy of the genetic code in two manners: having more than one tRNA (with a specific anti-codon) for a particular amino acid; and 'wobble' base-pairing, i.e. permitting non-standard base-pairing at the 3rd anti-codon position. RNAcentral also lists the same sequence under 1 other name. The record is from RNAcentral. Lineage: Bacteria; Bacillati; Bacillota; Clostridia; Eubacteriales.
GCGGAUGUAGUUUAGUGGCAGAACUUCAGCCUUCCAAGCUGACUGUGCGGGUUCGAUUCCCACCAUCCGCU